GAUGAACGCUGGCGGCGUGCCUAAUACAUGCAAGUCGAGCGAACAGACGAGGAGCUUGCUCCUCUGACGUUAGCGGCGGACGGGUGAGUAACACGUGGAUAACCUACCUAUAAGACUGGGAUAACUUCGGGAAACCGGAGCUAAUACCGGAUAAUAUAUUGAACCGCAUGGUUCCAUAGUGAAAGACGGUUUUGCUGUCACUUAUAGAUGGAUCCGCGCCGCAUUAGCUAGUUGGUAAGGUAACGGCUUACCAAGGCGACGAUGCGUAGCCGACCUGAGAGGGUGAUCGGCCACACUGGAACUGAGACAGGGUCCAGACACCUACGGGAGGCAGCAGUAGGGAAUCUUACGCAAUGGGCGAAAGCCUGACGGAGCAACGCCGCGUGAGUGAUGAAGGCCUUCGGAUCGUAAAACUCUGUUAUUAGGGAAGAACAAAUGUGUAAGUAACUAUGCACGUCUUGACGGUACCUAAACAGAAAGCCACGGCUAACUACGUG
Molecule: ribosomal RNA, 497 nt
Filed under: uncultured bacterium
Lineage: Bacteria
Description: partial 16S ribosomal RNA
Rfam family: Bacterial small subunit ribosomal RNA
Source: RNAcentral